Molecule: ribosomal RNA, 278 nt
Filed under: uncultured bacterium
Lineage: Bacteria
Description: partial 16S ribosomal RNA
Rfam family: Bacterial small subunit ribosomal RNA
Source: RNAcentral
CUUUCUCCGCCGGCGACCGGCGCACGGGUGAGUAACACGUAUGCAACCUGCCCCUGUCAGGGGGCAAAAACCCGCCGAAAGGCGGGCUAAACCCGCGUACAUGCCACCGGGGCAUCCCGGAGGCAGGAAAGGCUUCGGCCGGACAGGGAUGGGCAUGCGGCGCAUUAGGCAGUAGGCGGGGUAACGGCCCACCUAACCGACGAUGCGUAGGGGUUCUGAGAGGAAGGUCCCCCACACUGGUACUGAGACACGGACCAGACUCCUACGGAAGGCAGCAG